RNAcentral lists this ribosomal RNA (253 nucleotides) under uncultured bacterium. RNAcentral's name for it is "partial 16S ribosomal RNA". It matches the Rfam family "Bacterial small subunit ribosomal RNA", at positions 524 to 776 of the family's 1533-position model. The record is from RNAcentral.
UACGUAGGGUGCAAGCGUUGUCCGGAAUUAUUGGGCGUAAAGAGCUCGUAGGCGGUUUGUUGCGUCGGCUGUGAAAUCCCGAGGCUCAACCUCGGGUCUGCAGUCGAUACGAGCAAACUAGAGUGUUGCAGGGGAGACUGGAAUUCCUGGUGUAGCGGUGAAAUGCGCAGAUAUCAGGAGGAACACCGGUGGCGAAGGCGGGUCUCUGGACCGGAACUGACGCUGAGGCGCGAAAGCGUGGGGAGCAAACGGG